CCCAUUAUCGAUUACAUCAAGCUCUCCUUGCUCCUCCCUCGAUGUUUUAAUCUUGGGUUUCUUUUCCACUGUGCUCUUAUCAUCCCCUUGGACAUCUUUCUUCAAAAAUUUCUCAUUUGUUUUCCUCCUUUUCAGCUUAAAGUCCUCCAUAUCAAUAUGAUUACCAUUAUCUUGCUCCUCCGAUGUAUUCCUCUUUAAUUUCCUUUCAAACACAUCAUCCCUUCCAUACACUGGAACUUCAUCCUUCCUUGACAGUUUGUCCCUCAUUUUCUUCUCUUUCUUUAAAUCCUUCUCUAAAUUAGCAUCACUAACAUUACCAAAAUGACCAUGUCUACUUUGAUCCAUCUCAUGUUCAGAGAGUUUAUUUUCCCUUAUGGUAUCUUGUUUCUUUUCCUUGGGGGCUUCUAGCUCUUUAGCAGGGAUAAUUGAAAAAUCAUCUACUCUACCAACACUGCCACCAUCUCCUUUCUUGUUGUUUUUAUCUAUUGGUCUAGCAUUGAAUAUAUGCAAACUUGGCAACAAUUUUAGGACC
This 532-nucleotide unclassified non-coding RNA is filed under the name Hevea brasiliensis (rubber tree). Lineage: Eukaryota; Viridiplantae; Streptophyta; Magnoliopsida; Malpighiales; Euphorbiaceae. The record is from RNAcentral.